UAACCAACCCCUCGUGGUAGAAUUGGUCAUUGGAAACAGGAUCAAACACGAAGCACUUCAAGAAUAGAUUGAAUUUUGGUUUGGAUUUCCACUGUUCCUUGGUAUUUGAAGAGCAAUUAAUCCAUUUUUCUACCUGCAUUUGAAGGCAUGCCUGAAAAUACAAUGGACUGAACUUAUGUGAUCAAAAUUGCCUGCUAAGAGUAGGGGGUAUGUUAAUUU
Molecule: long non-coding RNA, 219 nt
Filed under: Anas platyrhynchos platyrhynchos (common mallard)
Lineage: Eukaryota; Metazoa; Chordata; Aves; Anseriformes; Anatidae
Description: lncRNA (ENSAPLG00000028493.1)
Source: RNAcentral